UACGUAGGGUGCAAGCGUUAUCCGGAUUUACUGGGUUUAAAGGGUGUGUAGGCGGACUUUUAAGUCAGCGGUGAAAUCUCCGGGCUCAACCCGGAAACUGCCAUUGAUACUAUUGGUCUUGAAUGUUGUUGAGGUGGGCGGAACGGGUCAUGUAGCGGUGAAAUGCAUAGAUAUGACCCGGAACACCGAUUGCGAAGGCAGCCCACUAAGCAACGAUUGACGCUGAGGCACGAAAGCGUGGGGAUCAAACAGG
This 253-nucleotide ribosomal RNA is filed under the name uncultured bacterium. Its description in RNAcentral is "partial 16S ribosomal RNA". It matches the Rfam family "Bacterial small subunit ribosomal RNA", at positions 524 to 776 of the family's 1533-position model. The record is from RNAcentral.